GAGUUCGUAGCUCAGUUGGUAGAGCACACGACUUUUAAUCGUGUUGUCGUGGGUUCGAUCCCCACCGAACUCACCA
This 76-nucleotide transfer RNA is filed under the name Alphaproteobacteria bacterium. RNAcentral's name for it is "tRNA-Lys". It matches the Rfam family "tRNA". Rfam says of the family: Transfer RNA (tRNA) molecules are approximately 80 nucleotides in length. Their secondary structure includes four short double-helical elements and three loops (D, anti-codon, and T loops). Further hydrogen bonds mediate the characteristic L-shaped molecular structure. tRNAs have two regions of fundamental functional importance: the anti-codon, which is responsible for specific mRNA codon recognition, and the 3' end, to which the tRNAs corresponding amino acid is attached (by aminoacyl-tRNA synthetases). tRNAs cope with the degeneracy of the genetic code in two manners: having more than one tRNA (with a specific anti-codon) for a particular amino acid; and 'wobble' base-pairing, i.e. permitting non-standard base-pairing at the 3rd anti-codon position. The record is from RNAcentral. Lineage: Bacteria; Pseudomonadati; Pseudomonadota; Alphaproteobacteria.